GGAUGAACGCUGGCGGCGUGCCUAAUACAUGCAAGUCGAGCGAACAGACGAGGAGCUUGCUCCUCUGACGUUAGCGGCGGACGGGUGAGUAACACGUGGAUAACCUACCUAUAAGACUGGGAUAACUUCGGGAAACCGGAGCUAAUACCGGAUAAUAUAUUGAACCGCAUGGUUCAAUAGUGAAAGACGGUUUUGCUGUCACUUAUAGAUGGAUCCGCGCCGCAUUAGCUAGUUGGUAAGGUAACGGCUUACCAAGGCAACGAUGCGUAGCUGACCUGAGAGGGUGAUCGGCCACACUGGAACUGAGACACGGUCCAGACUCCUACGGGAGGCAGCAGUAGGGAAUCUUCCGCAAUGGGCGAAAACUUGACGGAGCAACGCCGCGUGAGUGAUGAAGGUCUUCGGAUCGUAAAACUCUGUUAUUAGGGAAGAACAAAUGUGUAAGUAACUAUGCACGUCUUGACGGUACCUAAUCAGAAAGCCACGGCUAACUACGUG
RNAcentral lists this ribosomal RNA (498 nucleotides) under uncultured bacterium. Its description in RNAcentral is "partial 16S ribosomal RNA". It matches the Rfam family "Bacterial small subunit ribosomal RNA", at positions 27 to 507 of the family's 1533-position model. The record is from RNAcentral.